Molecule: ribosomal RNA, 1200 nt
Filed under: Triticum aestivum (bread wheat)
Lineage: Eukaryota; Viridiplantae; Streptophyta; Magnoliopsida; Poales; Poaceae
Description: partial small subunit ribosomal RNA
Source: RNAcentral
AUGGAGCCUCUCCUACAUGGACGGCGCGCGGCCUUCGCGCGACAUCAGGUGGGGCGAAGGGAAAAUGGAGGCUUUAUGUCUUCUGCUGUUUUCAUUUGGGCUGCGGCUGAGGCAAGCGUGUGGUGUGCUGUGUUGUGCAGUGAGGAGGAGCGGAAGUGGCUGGCGGAGGCGGUGGAGCGGCACAUGGCGGAGGACGUGGUGGGCCGUCUGAGGGAGAUCGCGCUGCUGAUGAGAACCCCGCUCUCCGUCCUGGAGGCGCAGGGCAUCACGCCCGAGGACAUCGAAGAUUUGCUCGCAGAGCUGCAAGUACAUGUCGAGUCUAUCGACAUAGCAAAUGAUCUGCAUUCUGUUGGUGGCUUGGUUCCAGUUAUUAGGUACCUCAGAAAUACUAAUGCACGCAUCCGAGCCAAAGCAGCUGAUGUGGUAACAACGGUUGUUCAAAACAAUCCGACUAGCCAGCAGCUGGUCAUGGAAGCUAGUGGUUUUGAGCCACUUGUAUCCAAUUUUACAUCAGAUCCUGAUCUCACUGCACGCAUAAAGGCUCUUGGUGCACUAUCCUCCUUGAUUCGGAACAACAAACCAGGAGUUGCUGCAUUUCGUCUAGCCAAUGGAUAUGCAGGACUGAGAGACGCCUUAAAUACAGAGAGUGCAAGGUUUCAGAGGAAAGCACUAAGCCUGACUCACCAUCUGCUCAGUGAAAGCCAUUCCGAUUGCUCGGUAUUUGCACAGCUAGGAUUUCCUCGUCUUAUGAUGCGUUUGGUAUCCAGUGAUGACUCUGGUGUUCGAGAAGCGGCAUUAGGAGGCCUGCUUGAGCUUGCAAAGGACACAACACUGGGGAAUAGGAGUUUACUAGCAGAGCAGGACAGGCUACGACGGCUUCUCUGGGGGCGUAUACAGAGCAUAAGGAUGAUGGCUCCUGAAGAUCUUGAUGCUGCACGAGAGGAAAGGCAACUCGUUGACUCAUUGUGGAUUGCAUGCUACCAUGAGCCAUCCACACUUCACCGGGAAGGAUUUGUCGUUCUGCCUGGAGAGGAAUCUUUUGAACAACCUCCUGAUGUGGCUGGUAGAUUCUUCGAGCCACUGCGCCGAGCUCCAUUGCAGAGGGCACCUCCUAGUCCUGAUGAGAGAUCAGAUCCAGGAAAUGGAACUGCGGGAGGAAUUAUGCUGCUUCUAGGUCCAGCAGCAGGUAACUCAGAGUAA